AGCGGCGGACGGGUGAGUAACGCGUGGGUAACCUGCCUCAUACAGGGGGAUAACAGUUGGAAACGGCUGCUAAUACCGCAUAAGCGCACAGUACCGCAUGGUACGGUGUGAAAAACUCCGGUGGUAUGAGAUGGACCCGCGUCUGAUUAGGUAGUUGGUGGGGUAACGGCCUACCAAGCCGACGAUCAGUAGCCGGCCUGAGAGGGUGACCGGCCACAUUGGGACUGAGACACGGCCCAA
RNAcentral lists this ribosomal RNA (240 nucleotides) under uncultured bacterium. RNAcentral describes it as "partial 16S ribosomal RNA". It matches the Rfam family "Bacterial small subunit ribosomal RNA", at positions 94 to 334 of the family's 1533-position model. The record is from RNAcentral.